This is a long non-coding RNA of Mercenaria mercenaria, 2459 nucleotides long. RefSeq lists it as uncharacterized. The transcript has 4 exons. NCBI's taxonomy places the organism in Eukaryota, Metazoa, Mollusca, Bivalvia, Venerida, Veneridae. The record is from RefSeq and is a predicted model, not a curated record.
AUCGAUCAGUGCAGUCACAAUUUUUUUAUGAUGAAGAGUCAUCUGGACAGUUUUGUCAAGCAAAGAGCCCAGCACUUGAUUCAAAAUAUUGAUAACGUGGUAACUUGCAUUAACUUUAAUCUUGGUCAAGAUCCUUGGUUAUUCAAGACCAGCAUGUCGACAUUUUUCAAAUUGAAAUUGUAUGAGAAUGAAAUUAGAGCGCCGGCUAACGACGAGGACAUGUCGAAUAUCAUAUCAGCUGCGAAAAUACUCUUGGAAGAAAACCAAGGCGGUGACGAAAUUGAAACAAUUAGAGAUGAUGAGGACGAACUUCUAGACAUCAUUAGCCCUACGACUCUGAAAUCGAAAGGCAUGAAAGGCAUCAGGGAACUACGCAAGCGGAAAUCCUAUACAAAACCUUCAUCAACGGUUACAUUGUCCGAAACGGAAUGGGAAAAGAGGGAAAACAAGUUGCUCGUGGCUCAUUGGAGAGAAUUGUCCAAAUCAAAGCAAGAGGCAAGGGACGAACUGUUAUUGUGCAAUAUGCUUGUCGGCGCAGAAAGAUCAAACACUAAUGCCGUGUGGCUAUACUUUUUGCAAAUACUGUGAAAAAAAGAUAAACAGCAAGUGUUACUAUUGUAAUGCAAAAGUAAAAUCAAGUGUAAAGGUGAAACUUACGGACUGAACAAGCCCACCAGACUUUCAAUACUUAGACAUUUUUAAUCAAAAAGAAGGUGUAUUGACUAGAAGUCCAGCAUGAAGUAAAAUAAACAUUCACAAUACCGGACGAUAUUAUUAUGUAGCUAUUAUAAUACGGUGAAAUCAUAAAUAAAAAUGUUAAAAACUGCCCGAGAACUUAUUUUUUCACUAUACUGUACAGUACAGAAAAAGAUUCAAUUGACUCCCUUUUCAAAAUCUUAGGGCUUUAUUCAAAUGCGAAUGUAACAUAAGUACUCCUUAAAAUAUGCUAGAAAAAUGUCGAAGAGAGAAUGGCUGAAUUUAAUGGUGAGUAAUCAAGCACGUUCUUAUUAAGCGAGAUGACAACGAUAUCUUUUAUUAAGUAAAUAAUCCAAUAAUGCAUUGCGAUAGAUAUUUCUAUAUCCUACCAGGAAAUGUGACAAAAUUCGGUGUGUUAUCAAUAAUUAUUUACGAAUUACACAAACGUAGGACAGAAUUGAAAAACGAUGUUUGUUUCAAUCAUUCUGUUGAAAUGAUUUUGAUUGAAUGCACUUACUAAGUUAGGCUGUAGGGAUCCCUAUCCUAUUUCAACGGAUGAAGCUUUAAAAGAAACGAACACGGCACUAUAUGAUUUGUUGUUGAACAUUUUGUAUUAUAGAUCAACACAUCACUGUACAAUUCUGUGUUUCAUUUAUUUUCAUCUUUCAAGAAAAUAAAUGGGUCCUUUCAUCACACCCCACAUCAGGCCCCGUAGUCCAAAAUAUUAGACGUGUACAUGCUCAUUUUACCUUCAACAUUCAAUAUUUUACAUUUCAUUUUCAAUCUGCAUUGUAACGUCUAAAAGGGCCCUAAACAGUAGAAUGUAGCAUUUUCUCACACGUAAAAUAUACGAUAUACACAGGUUUAAACAGUUUAGCCUACCGUUACUUAUCAUAUUCUAGUAAUAUAUCGUUUAAAUUUACCUUUAAAACCUCUUAUAUCCAAUAUAUGUCAAUUGUGUACAGUUGUCAAUACACAUUCCGCCAUUUUUCAAGCAUAUUCAGCAGGUUAUAAUAUAUUUAGAAUCGACUUAGACGAAAACAAUUUUCCACGUGAACUAUUUGCCAAGCGAUCUAGAGGGGAAAUAUUUCGUCUAAAAUUGAUUCUCAAAAUAAAAUGUGUUUACACAACAUUCGGAAUAGACCGGCAAUGUUGCACACCAUAACACAGAUACACGGCGAUACAUAUAGUGGAAAGAAACAACACGAUAUUUAUACAUGAACACUAUCUGGGCGAAAAUACCGCCACGAAAGACCAGGGAACAAGUAAACCGGGAUGCCGCCCAGAGACUCAAGACGGCUAGUAAUACUAAUCUAUUACUAUUAGAAAAUAAAAGGCUUCAAGACAUGGUACAAAACAUUCUGGAUUUAUUGAAAAAACAAGAGAGGCGGCUUCCAACUUUUGAAGUGCCGUCCACCGAAACCUGGGAGGAAGAGCUGAAUGAGCCUUCAUUCAGCUGGAAUCCAGCAACUAUAAGAUUUCACAAAACUUAUUCCUCAAGUAUGGGAACUGAGUCUGAGAGCGAAAUAUGGUUUUGGCAUAACCGAAAAUCCCGUAUUUGGUGAGUUCAUUUUACAAAAACAACAAUUACUUUUAUUUGCUAGUAACAACAUGAUCAAAUAAAUUCUUCAGACUGUGAGAGUGUAUUACAAUAGACAUAUAAUCAUAGCAUUCAAAAUAAAGGAAAAAUAACAUUACAUAUUUUAAGUACUAUAAUUCAUUGCCGAAGUCGGUUUCAUUGCAAUUACUGUUUGUAAUAAAAA